AUGAACGCUAGCGAUAGGCUUAACACAUGCAAGUCGAGGGGCAGCACAAGGUAGCUUGCUAUCUGGGUGGCGACCGGCGCACGGGUGCGUAACGCGUAUGCAACUUGCCCUAUACAGGAGGAUAACCCGUCGAAAGACGGACUAAUACUGCGUAUGCUCACAACUUGGCAUCAAGUGGUGAGGAAAGAAAUUCGGUAUAGGAUAGGCAUGCGUCCCAUUAGCUUGUUGGUGAGGUAACGGCUCACCAAGGCAACGAUGGGUAGGGGAACUGAGAGGUUUAUCCCCCACACUGGUACUGAGACACGGACCAGACUCCUACGGGAGGCAGCAGUGAGGAAUAUUGGUCAAUGGGCGCGAGCCUGAACCAGCCAAGUCGCGUGAAGGAUGACUGUCUUAUGGAUUGUAAACUUCUUUUAUACGGGAAUAACAAGAGUCACGUGUGACUCCCUGCAUGUACCGUAUGAAUAAGCAUCGGCUAACUCCGUG
Molecule: ribosomal RNA, 486 nt
Filed under: uncultured bacterium
Lineage: Bacteria
Description: partial 16S ribosomal RNA
Rfam family: Bacterial small subunit ribosomal RNA
Source: RNAcentral